Molecule: ribosomal RNA, 251 nt
Filed under: uncultured bacterium
Lineage: Bacteria
Description: partial 16S ribosomal RNA
Rfam family: Bacterial small subunit ribosomal RNA
Source: RNAcentral
GUAACACGUGAGUGACCUGCCUUUUAGACUGGAACAACUUACCGAAAGGUGAGCUAAUGCCGGAUGAGUUAUAUAAGUGCAUGUUUAUAUAGGAAAAGUUGGGGAGACCUGACGCUGAAAGAUGGACUCGCGUCCCAUUAGCUAGUUGGUAGGGUAAUGGCCUACCAAGGCGACGAUGGGUAGCCGGCCUGAGAGGGUGGCCGGCCACACUGGGACUGAGACACGGCCCAGACUCCUACGGAAGGCAGCAG